GCCGCCCGCCCCACCGGCCGCGCCGCCGCUGACCGCGCCGCAAGCUGCCAGCGCUGGGGGCCGGGCGCGGGUGAGACGGCGCGGGCCGCAAGCCGGGUGGGGACCGCCAGGUGUCCAGCGGGGCCCCUCCCGUCAGAGUGGUCGUGGGGGCCCUGCGGCCGGAGCCGAUUUCCAGCUCCCAGGUUGGGUCCUCCAGGUGGCGGCGCGCCGGGUUCCUCCAGCCCGCGGCCUGCAGGGAAGAAUCUGGCUCGCGAGGGCCUCCAGGGACCAGCCAGGCGUGGGUGGACACGGGGCUGCAAACACCAUACUGCCCCUUGCCUGUCUGUGGCUUGUGGGCUUUGGCUGAGAGUAGCCCCCACGAUUUGCUCCUGGAGCCUCGGCGCCAAGGUUUUCUGCCUCCAGCUGCUCUGGUUCCGCUGUGGAGCCCUAGGCAGGGCCGCGGGAAACAGGACUGGGAGGUGGUGUGAUUCAGUCCAGCAGGGUCUGUCUGCCUGCCUGUGGCCUGUGUCGCCUCGCGGGGUCUGCCCCUGUGACCGUUGCCCCCGGGGAUGCAGCAUGGAAGGAUUGGAACCGGAUGGCCUUGGCCUCACACCAAUUUGGCCCUCCAGGUACAGCCACCAUGGGUGACCCCCAGAGGUCCAUGCGGAUCCUAGUGACAGGGGGCUCUGGACUGGUGGGCAGAGCCAUCCAGAAGGUGGUGGAAGAUGGGGCUGGCCUUCCUGGAGAGGAAUGGGUGUUUGUCUCCUCCAAAGAUGCUGAUCUCACGUGAGUGGAGACCAUCCCAGAAGCAUUCCCCUCCUCCCCAUGCCCUCUCCAGACAGAAGAGCCUGGAGUCACAUCUGCUGACCCCCACCCCCAGCUUGGCCCCAGCCACAGUCUGGGCCCUCCCUGCCAGGUGUCUGGCCUGGCCUAGGUGUGCUGCUCUGGGCAGGCAUCCUCCCAUUCCUCUCUGCAAGCCAUUCCUUCACAGCUACCCACUGAACUCCACCACUUGUGCUUUUGGCUGCCCCUUCUGCAAUGGUCCCACUUAGUACUAGCCCCCAUUCCCCAAUACAGGGCCCUCCACGGGGCCCCUGACAACCCGGCUUCCUCCAGGGACACAGCACAGACCCAAGCCCUGUUCCAGAGGGUCCAGCCCACUCAUGUCAUCCACCUUGCUGCAAUGGUAGGGGGCCUGUUCCGGAAUAUCAAAUACAAUUUGGACUUCUGGGUAAGUUGGGGGGAGACAGCAAGCACUGGAGGACAGGAGCCCAGGUUCUGAGAACUUUCUAGCGGAUCUCCCACUCUCAGGUUCCUCUUCCUACCUCAUGGAGUCCCUGAGGAUGGGGGCUUGGCACAGCCUGAUGGGGGCAGCCCCUGAGGGACUCCCAGUGACACACAUUCGUGCUGCAGGCAGAAGGCCAUGUAGGUGGGUCUGGGGGCAUUUAGAUCAGUAAAAAGUCAACCUGCAAAAAGGGUUGGGGAUUUGAAAGAAGCUGUCAUUCUACGUGGCUUGAGGCUGGUUCCUGUUUCCUGAGCCAGGCCCACUGUGCUCGAUGAGGUGCAAGGAUGUCUGUGCCCUGGCAAUAGGGGGUAUAAUGUAAGGGCUGUACCCCUACUGGUUGGCCUCCUGCCUCUGGGCAGCAGCCUUGGCCUGACUGGCCUGUGCCAGCACUGGGAUCAGAAGCUUCCGCAAGACUCUGCCCAGAGUCACUGUCACCCAUGGCCCUCCUUGUCUAUCUCAGCCUCCCCCAUAAGUUGCCUGGCCACCAGCCUCUUCCCUGUUCUGAGGCCUGGCCAAAUGCCAUGGCCAUCUCAUGUCAAUUUAGGAAAGGGAACUGGGACUCAUGGGGGAUCAGGGUAGGCCACAGGGAAGGAGACCUGGGUGUGAGCUCCCCUGGGGUGGGCAGGGGAGGGGCCACUUCUGUGUAGUGGGAGCUUCCCACCCAGGGCUAGGUUAGGCCCCUGAGCUCCUGUCCCUUCUUCUGUGACCUGCCCUGCCUUCAGCAACCCCAGGCAGGCAGAACAGAACCAGACCCUAUGUGGCUAUGAUAGGGAUAGUGGCUUCAGUAAGGUCAGUGCUGAGAGGCUUUGUCUUGUCCCAGGAGGAGUUAGGACGAACAGGCACAGGUACUGCCUAUGUCUGAGGGGCCAGAGUAUGUCCCCACCUCUGUCUCUGGAGGAGUGGAAAGGGGCUGGGUUCCUGCCUGGGCAGCCUGACCUGCCCUGCUCCACCCUGCAGAGGAGGAAUGUGCACAUCAACGACAAUGUCCUGCAUUCUGCCUUCGAGGUGGGCGUCUGCAAGGUGGUCUCCUGCCUGUCCACCUGUAUCUUCCCUGACAAGACCACCUACCCUAUUGAUGAGACCAUGGUGAGGGGGGCCUAUGUGGGGUAGGACUUGGUCUGUGGGUGGAACCUGGAAGUGGGAGCCUCAGUGCAUCUUUUGCUCCCAUAGAUCCACAAUGGGCCACCCCACAACAGCAAUUUUGGGUACUCCUACGCCAAGAGGAUGAUUGACGUGCAGAACAGGUCCUCCUCUGCUGUCUUGGCCAGGCCUAACCAGGAGUGGGGGAGGGCUUAAGCUCUGGUGGUGGGGCUAGCUGGGUGGCUGCCUUCUUGAGUCUGGUGUUUACAUCUGUGAGAGACCAGCUGUGGGUGGGGUCUGUGUCCUGGGAUGAGGCAGGAGACCCUGGGCCUCUGCAGGGCCUACUUUCAGCAGCAUGGCUGCACAUUCACCGCGGUCAUCCCCACCAACGUCUUUGGGCCCCACGACAACUUCAACAUCGAAGACGGCCAUGUGCUGCCCGGCCUUAUCCACAAGGUGCACCUGGCGAAGAGUGAGUGCGGCUGCCCAGCCCGUGCCAUCCAGGGUUCCCAGGGUUCUGGCCUGACGGGGUCCCUGGGCUCCCAUCUAGACAGCUCAUGGCAGCUGGAGUGCUACUGACAAUUGCUCUUGCCCCUAAUCUGCAGGCAGUGGCUCUGCCCUGACAGUGUGGGGUACAGGGAAGCCACGGAGGCAGUUCAUCUACUCGCUGGUGUGUAUAAGGCUGGCCUGCUGGGUUGAUGGGGAGGCAGUGGCAUGAGGGGGUCUGGGUAGAGUCCCUGGGGGUGCCUGGGAGUCCCUGGUCCAGCUGUGAGCUCAGAAAGAGAAAGGGCUGCCUGGAGGAGGAACCCCAUACCCUCCUGGGUGAGCCAUGGCUGUGCCCCCAGUGAGCAGAGAUAGCAGUGUGGCCCCCUGGCUCCCUCAUCUGACUGUCACUGUGGGCUCUGACCUGCCUGCCUGCCUGACCUCCAGGACUUGGCCCGGCUCUUCAUCUGGGUCCUACGGGAGUACAGUGAGGUGGAGCCCAUCAUCCUCUCAGGUUGGCACCACGGCCCCCACACCCAUUCCUACAGUGGGACAAGACCCAGUUUGUCUUUGAGGGCUGGCAGAGGAGUGGGGGCAGAAUACCCACGGGAGGCUGGUAGGAAGCCUAAUAGGCCACUGCCCAUUGCUCCCACAGUGGGCGAGGAAGAGGAGGUCUCCAUCAAGGAGGCAGCUGAGGCUGUGAUGGAGGCCAUGGGCUUCCACGGGGAAGUCACCGUAUCCUUUGGGGCACUCUAGAGGAACUGAAGCCCAGGUGGGACACUCGGCCUAACACCAUUUUGUUGCCUGGUGGUACUUGCCCUGGCAGCUGGAGGGGGGUCUGUCUUGGCCAGGCUCCCUCCCCAGGAAAGGCAGGUUUAAGGUAGCGAGGAGGGGGGGUGUACCUUCUGCUGUGGCCUUGACCAAGGUGCCUAGUAUGAUACAACCAAGUCAGACGGGCAGUUUAAGAAGACAGCCAGCAACACCAAGCUUCGGGGCUACCUACCUGACUUCCGGUUCACACCUUUCAAGCAGGGUGAGCCCCUCCCCCUCCAGUGUCCUCCCCUUGGCAACCUCCUAUCCCCCGGCCCCUCCUUGGCUUUGGACCCUCCUCCACUGCUCCUCCCUUUUGCUCCUUGCUGUGGCUUCUGCUUUCCUACUGUGAUGUGGAGGUGGGGUGCUCUGCAGAUUUGGUCACCAGGCCUGGUCACCUGGGAAUCAGGGCGUUGCAGCUUGGAGGAAGUGACUUCCCUGUGUCCCUGGGACCUGUACCCUCCCUGGGUCCUGUAGGUCACUGUGGUCUUGGCCCUCACCUGCUCACCAGCCCUCACUUGUCCACCUGCAGCUGUAAAGGAGACCUGUGCCUGGUUCACUGACAACUAUGAGCAGGCUCGGAAGUAAAGCUGUGCAGACGUGCAGGCACUCAGCUGGCAAAGCCCAGUGCCCACCACCUUCAGACCUUGCCAGGAACCAAGGACGCUGCUCAGCAACCCGGGGCCACGUCCCCUUGCCUCUGCCAGGGGUUCCAGGCGGUUGUCCAGUUGGGAGCCAUUUGUCAAGAGGCUCAUUCUUGUGUGAGUCAAGGCCUGUCCCUGCCUGGGACCUCACCCCCCACCGCCCUGGCCUCAGUGCACUCUGGGCCUCAGUGCACUCAGUGCUUUGUCUGGGGGCCGGUAAAGUACGUUUCCAUUGCCCUGUUUUGGGCUUUUGCAGGCUGUGAUGGAGCUCUGUGCUCAGCUAUUGCCCACACCCAA
This 4578-nucleotide long non-coding RNA is filed under the name Marmota monax (woodchuck). The record is from RNAcentral. Lineage: Eukaryota; Metazoa; Chordata; Mammalia; Rodentia; Sciuridae.